AUCGCUUCUAGGCCUUUUGGCUAAGAUCAAGUGUAGAAGUUGAACUUGAAAGAACUUUCAAAACUCUUUAAGCUUUAAAGUUCUUUUUGAUAGCUUUGCAUUGUUUUAACUAUCUAUAAUGUUUGAGAUUUAUAUAAGUUCCAGGUGAACCAAU
This 154-nucleotide small nuclear RNA is filed under the name Myotis brandtii (Brandt's bat). Its description in RNAcentral is "U2 spliceosomal RNA". It matches the Rfam family "U2 spliceosomal RNA". Rfam says of the family: U2 is a small nuclear RNA (snRNA) component of the spliceosome (involved in pre-mRNA splicing). Complementary binding between U2 snRNA (in an area lying towards the 5' end but 3' to hairpin I) and the branchpoint sequence (BPS) of the intron results the bulging out of an unpaired adenosine, on the BPS, which initiates a nucleophilic attack at the intronic 5' splice site, thus starting the first of two transesterification reactions that mediate splicing. Lineage: Eukaryota; Metazoa; Chordata; Mammalia; Chiroptera; Vespertilionidae. The record is from Rfam by way of RNAcentral.